ACGGUUCAGAAUAGCUAUGUCACAGGCCAGGAACAUUCCACUUGCCUGCCUAGUGCUCAGAGCAGUGGGGGGUCGGGGUGGCAGGUGGUGGGUGACAAAGGCCUGUGGCAGUCUUGCCCUAGUCUGUGGAAUGAGGGUAGGUGGGAGUCCAGCAGUGGUGGAGAUGGUACCAAAGAAGGGCCAGGGCUGGUAGGUGCUGUGCCUUCAGCUGCUGUGGUAGAUCCGGAGGCGCUGGGAGAUCUGGCGGCACAGCGGGCAGGUGCGCAGAGGCUGGCAGCACUGCUGACAGCAGCAGACAUGGCCACAGGAGGCCAAGAGACACAAGAAGAGGAAGAGAUUUUCAUGGUGCUUCAGAAGGAGAAGAGGUGACCAGCCAUGUGAUAUCUCAGGUCAUGCCACUGCUGCUGCUAUCCUGACAUUACCACACUGGAAUGCUAUUAUAUUCAUGAAGAGUUUGCAAGUGGAUUUAGGGGCUGCUGCUGAACUGAACUGCUGUAAACUGAGCUGCUGAUUUCCUGACCUCGCAGAUGGGAUUUGCUCCAAAGAGUCA
Mus musculus (house mouse) is the source of this 550-nucleotide long non-coding RNA. RefSeq annotates it as predicted gene, 46502. NCBI's taxonomy places the organism in Eukaryota, Metazoa, Chordata, Mammalia, Rodentia, Muridae. The record is from RefSeq and is a predicted model, not a curated record. The transcript is spliced from 3 exons.